GACGAACGCUGGCGGCGUGCUUAACACAUGCAAGUCGAACGGAACGGCCCUGCUUUUGUGGGCUGCUCGAGUGGCGAACGGGUGAGUAACACGUGAGUACCCUGCCCUUGCCUUUGGGAUAACUUCAGGAAACUUGGUCUAAUACCGGAUAGGAUCUCCUGCUGCAUGGUGGGCGUUGGAUAGUUUCGGCGGUUGGGGAUGGACUCGCGGCUUAUCAGCUUGUUGGUGGGGUAGUGGAUUACCAAGGCUUUGAGGGGUAGCCGGGCUGGGAGGGUGACAGGACAAAGUGGGACUGAGAUACGGCACAGACUAGUACGGGAGGGAGGGGAGGGGAGGAGAGCAUAGUGGGAGGAAGGAUAAUGCAGUAAAGCAGCGGGGGGGAUGAGGGGCUUGGGGUUGGAAACUGAUGUUGCCUGAGACGAAGCGUGAGUGACGGUAAUGGGUAAAGAAGCUCCGGCUAACUACGUG
This 468-nucleotide ribosomal RNA is filed under the name uncultured bacterium. RNAcentral's name for it is "partial 16S ribosomal RNA". It matches the Rfam family "Bacterial small subunit ribosomal RNA", at positions 28 to 507 of the family's 1533-position model. The record is from RNAcentral.